UACGUAUGGUGCGAACGUUGUUCGGAAUUACUGGGCGUAAAGGGUUCGUAGGUGGCCAACUAAGUCAUACGUGAAAUCCCUCAGCUUAACUGGGGAACUGCGUCUGAUACUGGUUGGCUUGAGUGCAGGAGAGGAACGCGGAAUUCCAGGUGUAGCGGUGAAAUGCGUAGAUAUCUGGAGGAACACCGGUGGCGAAGGCGGCGUUCUGGACUGCAACUGACACUGAGGAACGAAAGCCAGGGGAGCAAACGGG
This 253-nucleotide ribosomal RNA is filed under the name uncultured bacterium. Its description in RNAcentral is "partial 16S ribosomal RNA". It matches the Rfam family "Bacterial small subunit ribosomal RNA", at positions 524 to 776 of the family's 1533-position model. The record is from RNAcentral.